Molecule: RNA transcript, 3759 nt
Organism: Zingiber officinale
Lineage: Eukaryota; Viridiplantae; Streptophyta; Magnoliopsida; Zingiberales; Zingiberaceae
Gene name: probable apyrase 7
Exons: 5
Source: RefSeq, a predicted model, not a curated record
CCCAGAUCCGCUAUUUCUGCUUCCCCCAACCCGACGACGCCUGUCCCCCAAUUGCAUCCGGAGCCGUCCUCCCGCGCUCUCUCUGCCGAUCGGCGAUCGGCGAGGGGUGCAUGCGGUCCGUUCGACGAUCGCAGCUCCACUGCUUGCCGUAGUAGUCUUCAUCGAUCUUCGUCUCUCCGCGGGCUGCAACCGGCGGGAGUCGACGCCGGGGACACGCAUCGUCUUCGGACAGGUGCAUAACCAUAUACAGAAAAAAUUGCAAAUUGCUUCUAUCUAGUGUUGGCAUCAAAGUGGAGUUGAAUGAAUGAAUCUUUAAGGUCACUGUACUACCUCAUUUUUUAUCUGCAAAAUCUGGUUGCAUUGCAGUGCUGGAUCUCCUGAAAAGAAAAGCAUUAUGCGGCUUUCCUUGUCUCUCCAAGAUUUGAAGUCAUUCUCUAAACUAAAUUCAGAUGAACAUGAAGAUGACAGGAGUUAUGGGCGUUCGAAACCUUUUCAUGCUCUUCAAAAUGAAGUUAUCCCAUCAAGCCUAGUGAAGGAGAAAUCCUUACCACUAACUCAACCUAAACCAAAAAAAUGGGCACGGGCAACUCUAGGCAUCACCAUGCUUCUAUUAUUGCUAUCAUUGAUAUUUGUAUGCUCUAAAUUUGUUCAUUCUUAUUUGUCGCAAGAGGCAUCUAGGUAUUAUGUUGUUCUUGAUUGUGGCAGUACUGGCACUCGUGCGUAUGUCUAUGAGUGGUUGAUUGACCAAAAAGGUGAUAAAAAUUUUCCUAUUGCAUUGAAAUCUUUGCCUGAAGAUCCUGAAAGGAAUCCUAGAAUGCAAAGUGGCCUUGCUUACCAGCGUAUGGAAACUGAGCCUGGUUUUGAUAAACUUGUUCAUAAUGAAUCGGGCAUAAGGGCUGCUUUGCAUCCACUCCUUCAGUGGGCUGAGAAACAAAUACCAAAGCAUGCUCACAGAGGCACAUCUGUGUUUCUACUUGCUACUGCUGGAGUACGUGGGUUGCCUGGAUCUGAUUCAGAUUGGCUUCUAAACAAAGCAUGGGAUGUUUUGAAGAACUCAUCAUUUUUAUGCAGGAGAGAUUGGAUUAAGAUUAUAUCUGGUAUGGAGGAAGCAUACUAUGGGUGGAUAGCUCUUAACUAUCACAUGGGUCUAUUGGGUUCAUUGCCAGUUGGGAAGACUUAUGGGUCACUGGAUCUUGGGGGUUCAUCAUUACAAGUUACAUUUGAGACAGAGACACUAACACAUCAUGAUACAAGUAUAAGUUUGAGGAUUGCAUCUACUAGCCACUAUCUUAAUGCCUAUUCUCUGUCAGGUUUUGGAUUGAAUGAAGCAUUUGACAAAUCUGUGGCUCAUCUUUUCAGAAAGGUUGUUGGUACUUCAGAUGGUUUCAACAAUGAGAAGUUCCAACUUAGACAUCCUUGCUUAAAUAGUGGAUACAAGGAAGAAUAUACAUGUUCACGCUGUACCCCUAACCUAGCAGGGACUCCUGGGUUUGGAGGGAGAACUGGAACAGUUGUCGAACUACUUGGCACUCCUCAGUGGGAGGAGUGUAAUGCCCUUGCAAAAUUAGCUGUUAAUCUCUCAGCUUGGACGCAUUUAAGUUCUACUGUUGAUUGUGAACUUAAACCAUGUGCUCUCAGUGAUGAUUUACCGCAUCCUCAUGGGAAAUUUUAUGCCAUGUCAGGUUUCUUUGUGGUUUUCCGGUUUUUUGGUUUAUCUUCUGAGGCUUCUCUUGAAGAUGUACUUAAAAAGGGCCAGGAGUUUUGUGCUAAACCAUGGGAAGCUGCAAUGAAUAGUGUUGCACCACAACCAUACAUAGAGCAAUAUUGUUUUAGGGCUCCUUAUGUCAUAUCCCUUUUGAGAGAUGGGUUGCAUAUCAAUGAUAGUCAGGUGGUUAUUGGCUCUGGUAGUAUUACUUGGACAUUGGCAGUAGCCCUAUUGGAGGCUGGGCAGACAUUUUCAAAUUUAUCUGAAGUGCAUGGCUAUAAGAUUGUGCCAACAGACAUACAUCCAGCUUUCCUUGUUGCAAUGCUUUUGUUUUUGGUUUUAUUUCUUUGUUAUGCACUAUACUGCAUAAGAAAAAUGAUUCCAAAAUUAUUCCGACGAUCAUAUCUCCCACUCCACAGGCACAAUAGUGUACCAAGUUCUGUUCUUAGCCUCCCUUUCCAGAGGUGGAGUCCUAUUAAUUCUGUUGAGGGAAAGAUAAAAGCACCGCUCAGUCCUACAAUUGAUGCUUCUGAGCAGCAUCCAUUUAGCAUGGGACAUGUUUUGGGAAGCAGUAAUACUCAAGAACCUUCAGUGAAUCAAUUAGCCAGUGCUCAUAGUUAUUCAUCUGGUAGCUUAGGCCAACUACUGUUUAUCAAUGGUGCUGGAUCCUCCUGGACACCCCAUGGGAGUCAGAGAAAACUUUCAAGCAGGAGAUCUCAGUCAAGAGAAGAUCUCAGUUCUUCAGUAGCAGAAGUUCACACAGUGAAGAAGAACAGUCAAAUUGUUGGCACGUAGUGACAUGAAUGAGGUGGGGGAUCAAUUUCCCUUUUGAAGAAUAGAGUUUUGUUACUUUUAAAUUUAAAGGAGAAAACUUCUUUUUUGACUGCAAACACUGUAGUCGACAAUUCUGCUGCAAUGCUAGCUGGUUCAAACAUUUUCACCUCAUUCAAUAAGCGUGGGGAUUUAUAUUGUUAAGAGUUAGUGGUUUGCUGUAUUCUCAUAGAAAUUUUUAUACCUUUGUUAUGGAGAUUCAUGAAAUCAUAGAAUUUCCAAAAUUCAGAAAUUUUCACAACUAAUCAAUUUUCUUUAAAUAUUCUUCCAAUUAUAUUUGGUAGAGUUUGCCAGAGAAAUGCCAUGCCAUGGUUAAGGAAUUUUUAUGAUCAAUCUUCCUUGUGUGACUAAUAAAUUCACAGAUUAUUUAAUGGACAGAAGAUCAAAACUCAGUUAUCAACUUCAGCUUGAUCCUAGUGAUGAUGGUGCUGGUGUUUCUAAGGAUGAAGUUUUGCAUUCUGGUUUGACUAGUUUUCAUCCAGUUUGAUGACGUUUGAUGGUUCCCUUUAGUUAAUCCAGAUCCAAUAUUGAUUUGGAUUGGUUUUUGACCUCCAUUUCAUUUUGAACGGUUGAAAUUAGUUUAAUCUUUUAUUGAUUGUGCAACAGAAUUGAACACCUUCAUCGAGGAAGCUUCACAUUGCAGGGAUGAGCUGAUGCUGCUUACUUCAAUUCUUUUCCUUUUGAACCCAUGUGAAGCAGCCUUGUUACUGAUAUGAAGGAAAGAUAAAAGCACCACCCAGUCCUACUUCUGAGUUCUGAGCAGCGCCCAUUUAGGAUGGGGCAUGCCUUGGGAAGCAGUAACACUCAACUUAAGGAACCUUCAGUGCUUAUAGUUAUUCAUCUGGUAGCUUAGGCCAACUGCAGUUUAUCAAUGGUGUGGGAUCCUCCUGGAUACUCCACAGAGGGUCAGAGAAAACUUUCAAGCUCGAGAUCAGAUCUCAGUUCUUCAGUAACAGAAGCCCACACGGCAAAGGUUUGACUUACAAGCAUGCUCAAGCCCUAAGGUUGAUGUUUCUAUUUAGAUUUUGAUUAGCGUAGUUUAGGGCAAUUUUGGUGAAUUAUAAUUGGAAGAAUGGAGGUGCAUUUAUUCAAUCUAAGCACAUGGCCUGUUCCUGCAUGAUAUGGUUGGUACUCAAUCAUCAAUCAUUUUCAUACAUGACUCGACACAAUGUUUGUAGCAUGCAUCUAAUUUAAUAAUGGAAUAGCUUAAGCAUAGUUCAAAA